Molecule: ribosomal RNA, 486 nt
Filed under: uncultured bacterium
Lineage: Bacteria
Description: partial 16S ribosomal RNA
Rfam family: Bacterial small subunit ribosomal RNA
Source: RNAcentral
AUUGAACGCUGGCGGCAUGCCCUACACAUGCAAGUCGAACGGCAGCACGGGUGCUUGCACCUGGUGGCGAGUGGCGAACGGGUGAGUAAUACAUCGGAACACGUCCUGUAGUGGGGGAUAGCCCGGCGAAAGCCGGAUUAAUACCGCAUACGAUCUACGGAUGAAAGCGGGGGACCUUCGGGCCUCGCGCUAUAGGGUUGGCCGAUGGCUGAUUAGCUAGUUGGUGGGGUAAAGGCCUACCAAGGCGACGAUCAGUAGCUGGUCUGAGAGGACGACCAGCCACACUGGGACUGAGACACGGCCCAGACUCCUACGGGAGGCAGCAGUGGGGAAUUUUGGACAAUGGGCGAAAGCCUGAUCCAGCAAUGCCGCGUGUGUGAAGAAGGCCUUCGGGUUGUAAAGCACUUUUGUCCGGAAAGAAAUCCUUGGCCCUAAUACGGUCGGGGGAUGACGGUACCGGAAGAAUAAGCACCGGCUAACUACGUG